Podarcis lilfordi (Lilford's wall lizard) is the source of this 124-nucleotide non-coding RNA. The record is from the annotation of a GenBank genome assembly. NCBI's taxonomy places the organism in Eukaryota, Metazoa, Chordata, Lepidosauria, Squamata, Lacertidae.
CAGGCAUAAGCAAACUCGGCCCUCCAGAUGUUUGGGGACUACAACUCCCAUGAUCCCUAGCUAACAGGACCAGAUGGGAAUUGUAGUCCCAAAACAUCUGGAGGGCUGAGUUUGCCUAUGCCUG